RNAcentral lists this ribosomal RNA (489 nucleotides) under uncultured bacterium. RNAcentral describes it as "bacterial SSU rRNA". It matches the Rfam family "Bacterial small subunit ribosomal RNA", at positions 30 to 509 of the family's 1533-position model. The record is from RNAcentral.
AUUGAACGCUGGCGGCAUGCCUUACACAUGCAAGUCGAACGGCAGCAUGGGUGCUUGCACCUGAUGGCGAGUGGCGAACGGGUGAGUAAUGCAUCGGAACGUACCCGGAAGUGGGGGAUAACGUAGCGAAAGUUACGCUAAUACCGCAUAUUCUGUGAGCAGGAAAGCGGGGGAUCGCAAGACCUCGCGCUUCCGGAGCGGCCGAUGUCGGAUUAGCUAGUUGGCGGGGUAAAGGCCACCAAGGCAACGAUCCGUAGCGGGUCUGAGAGGAUGAUCCGCCACACUGGGACUGAGACACGGCCCAGACUCCUACGGGAGGCAGCAGUGGGGAAUUUUGGACAAUGGGGGCAACCCUGAUCCAGCCAUGCCGCGUGAGUGAAGAAGGCCUUCGGGUUGUAAAGCUCUUUCGGUCUGGGAGAAAUACGCAUCUCCUAAUACGGGUAGUGGAGUGACGGUACCAGCAUAAGAAGCACCGGCUAACUACGUGCC